AGCGAACGCUGGCGGCAGGCCUAACACAUGCAAGUCGAACGAACUCUUCGGAGUUAGUGGCGGACGGGUGAGUAACACGUUGGAACGUGCCUUUUGGUUCGGAAUAACUCAGGGAAACUUGUGCUAAUACCGAAUGUGCCCGUCGGGGGAAAGAUUUAUCGCCAUUAGAGCGGCCCGCGUCUGAUUAGCUAGUUGGUGAGGUAACGGCUCACCAAGGCGACGAUCAGUAGCUGGUCUGAGAGGAUGACCAGCCACCCUGGGACUGAGACACGGCCCAGACUCCCACGGGAGGCCGGAGUAGUUAAUCUUGCGAAAUGAGCGCAAGUCUGACGCAGCCAUGCCGCGUGAAUGAUGAAGGUCUUAGGAUUAUAAAAUUCUUUAGCCGGGAACGAUAAUGACGGUAACCGGCGAAUAAGCCCCGGCUGACUUCGUG
Molecule: ribosomal RNA, 433 nt
Filed under: uncultured bacterium
Lineage: Bacteria
Description: partial 16S ribosomal RNA
Rfam family: Bacterial small subunit ribosomal RNA
Source: RNAcentral